GACAACAGCAAUUGUCAACUUAUUGAACACCUGCAGUUAAUCUUUUCACUGUACAAGUGAACUUUCUUCUAUAUAAAAGUCUAAAAAGACAAAGGAUUGCGUAACAAAAAUGUUUUAGUGUUCAAAAUAUCAAAGAGAGGAACGAACAGGAAGCAUUUUGUGAACACGGACUCAUGGACAUACCAGUGGUGAGAUAAGAUGCCUAAGAGGAUGAUGCAUAACCUGUUGACCGAUCACUAUCGCCAUGAACCCUAAAUCUUGAUUAGGUAAAUGAAGCAAUCCGUACUCAAAAUAAAUUUGUAAAGAACGUCCAAACAAUCGGUAUGCAAUUGACCCAAUGAUAAGUUAUUUUGGCAAACUAUAUUAUAUCGACGAUAGAAUUUGCAAAUAAACGACUUUAAACGAGGUUGGUGAAACCCCUGCACCAUCAACUUAUUUGCCAGUAGCCUGUCUUGAUUUAAAAACUGAUCAUACGCAUACGUAGAAUAUGCUCUGGUGUUUCAUGUUCUUUUGAAAGGACAGCUGGAGUAUAAGAAUCGUUACCAAAUUAAUGCUAAAUUCGUUUACAAUACAGUUCUAAUAAUGAGCAUUACAAAGACAAUGUUGGUAAAAGUUUUGUCAGCACGGAAAUAAAACAUUUUCCUGAUGUAAGCUCUCUAAUUAUUUAAUCACUUCUGAUUUACUAAACACAGAAGUAUAGAUGGUUUUGAUGUGCCUAAUGCGGGUUUUCAAUAUUCCUCAUAUACUUUUAAUCCAUUCCGACAAAGUAUCAAUUUCUUUGUUUUCAGUUUUAGCUCAAUCCAUAAUAGAGAUGAAGUUUUGCCGUCAAUUGAAAGACUGAGGUUUUUUUAAAUUUAGGAACUUUUAAAAUCAGUGAUUUGAGGUCCUCAUUUUUAACUAUAUGAACGGGUGUUACUGGUCAACGAGGGAUUAUUACUAAUCCUAGUCAUCUGAUCAUACUGCUGGUAUGUCUAGGGACCACGUUUGCCCUACCCUGAAUUUCGUAUUCUGUAUGGAAUCUAUGAGGUUGAUCACUGUUCGUUAGCGCAUUAUCUUCAUUUUCAUGCCGUGGUGGCCGAGAGGUUAGAGCGUUGUCGCCGCAUUUUUCAUUCAACUGAUAUGAUUAUCAGUACUGCUAAAAUGUUAUUUAUCUUGGUUAACGAAAUUUUGUAAAGCAUUGACCUUCUAUAAAAAUGGAGUAUCAGAAAAAGGUGUUUUCCAUUUUUGUAGAAUAGACGUGCUCUAUUGCUCGUUUUUGAAUCGCCCAUCAUUUAUUGCUGAAAACAAAUAUACUCAUUUCAUGGAUAUAAUAUAUAUAUAUAUAUAUAUAUAUAUAUCUCGAAGAAAAAAGCUUUUAAACAGCUUAUUAAGAAACAUAUUGUAAAGAUUGUUGGUUCAAAAAUUCCUGAUGGAAGAGUUAUCCUUCCUAAAAUAAAAUACCUCCUACGGAUCCCUAUUUAGGAUUCCUCACCAAUAUUGAUACUCCUAGCUACCCAUGGUUAUUGUGCAGGGAUCAGACACGAAUUGAAAUGUUUCAGCCAGACUGAAAGUUGAAAUCGGGAGAUUAAGGGAUUCUUGCGAAUGCCUCUGACAACUGCGUUAACCGAUUAUCGAAGAAACGUUUUCAUUUGACAAUAGAUCGAAGGAUAUUCAUAGUAAAUUAUCAACAUGCAGCAUGAGGUAUAGCUGACUGUUUACGUCCUGUUUUUCACUCAAUGAUGGUACUUUGUAACACAGCGACAAUUUUAUAAGAGUGGAUAGGUCAUCUCAAGGUUGUUAAACGUGCAGCACAAUGUUUCCCAAUGAUGUCGUAUUGAUAUGCUAUUUUGUAGCUAUAUUCUCUGGGAAGGCUAAUUCAUAUGGAUGCUCAAGAGGAACUAUUACAGAAGAAGAACCAGAAUGCUGUUAUAAUUUUUACAGAGUCAACAACUUCUGUAAACAAUGUCUCCCUGGAUUUUACGGACAUAACUGUGUGCGUGUAUGUCGUUACCCGUAUUACGGACAGCACUGUAUGUAUAUGUGUCGGUGCCCGGAGUCUGAGUGUAACCACCAGUACGGAUGUGAACCAUCUACUUCGUCUGCAUAUACAGAUUUACUGGAUAUACACAAACUACUUCCACUUCAUCGAUUUAACACUUUAAGGUAAACAUAUUAUAUCAUGCCUUUUUUUAUUUUGUAUUGGCUAAAUUUCGUUUCUUGGACAAGGAAACCUCAAAUAAAAUAUGAAAUAGCAAUUAAGUAUGCCCAUGUCUUUAAAUUUGUGUACGAUUCUACAAAUGGCCACGUUCAAGGUAAAGUUCAAGGCAGCAUGAGAGAUCGAAGCUACCUAAUCAAUGUAUCAACAUGUAAGCAAGACUGAUGCCAGGGCAUCGUGGGUACAGCAUCCAAAAAGUGCACUGCCAAAAACAACUAAACUAAUGGAGGAGUUAUUUCCAGCUCCACCUAAGUACCAGAGAUAACAAUACAGUAGAGAAAUAAUCAUUUGUGGUCAUCAUAGUUUGAUUCAGUGCCUGCAGUAUUGGGACAAAACAGGUAUCUCCAUCAUUGUUUAAGCAGCCCAUGGCCUCAUACAAUUUGUUAACUAGAAAUACCAUUAUUUGGAGUAUAAACAAUGAAUGUGUUGCAAAAGAAAAGUACUGUUUCUAUGGAAAUGCUGUAGUUUCAGAAACAGACAGAACUCUUUAUUUUAACUUUCUUCUAUUUGUUGCUGUAUAUGUUACCAAAAAAUGUCAUGUUAAUUCGUGUUAUGUCACAUGCAAGGUGAAGAUUACGAACAGUGAUCAAUCUCAUAACUCCUACAAGCAAUACAAAAUAGAUAGAUGGGCAAACACGGACCCCUGGACACACCAGAGGUGGAAUCAGGUGCCUAGGAGGAGUAAGCAUCCCCUGUUGACCGGUCACACCCGCCGUGAGCCCCAUAUCCUGAUCAGGUAAACGGAGUUAUCUGCAGUCAAAAUCAGUGUGCCAAGAACGGCUUAACAAUCGGUAUGAAACACGUCAGACAGCAUUUGACCCAAUGCGAGGUUGUAUUGACGAACUAGAUCGUUAUAACGACCAUAUAAUUUGCGAAAUGCUGACUUCAAUCGAGACUGUUGAAAUCCCUGUACCAUCAACUUGUUUGUCAGUAGCUUACCUCGAUUUAAAAACUAUGUGUUUAGCUUUUUGUAAUGAUCACUUUUUUGAGGUAGUCGCUUGUAAGCAUCAUACGCUAUAGAAUGUUCUGUUUUUAUUUGACUUAAUAUCGUACAUCCUCUCUCCUGUAGGUUAUAAAAAAGAUCUCUGUCUUGUACUGUAUAGAUAUUUAUAUUAAGAUGUUACCCUAAAUUUGUUUUGUUUGAAUUCGGAGUUUAAUGACGAUAGAAGGAAAUAAAAACAGUUAUAGUUAAUGUUGAUAUAUGUGUUUUGUUUGCUUUUUCUUUUAUUCAGGAAGAGUUGUAAUCAAAUUAGUAUAUGGUUAUUCUUACGUUCCGUAGAUCUGAGGUCCACAUUUUUGUUUUUAUGUUUAUCUAGUAUGAAUCGUGUUGUGUUAAAGACACUAUAUAUAUUGUUAUAAAUAUAAGUUUGUGUCUAGGUAAGUAUUUAGAAUAUGUAUUUAUAUAGGUAUGUAUUUAACUAAUUAAAUGAUUGAAUUGG
Molecule: RNA transcript, 3633 nt
Organism: Ostrea edulis (European flat oyster)
Lineage: Eukaryota; Metazoa; Mollusca; Bivalvia; Ostreida; Ostreidae
Gene name: cell death abnormality protein 1-like
Exons: 7
Source: RefSeq, a predicted model, not a curated record